GACGAACCGUCCAAACGUUAUUCGGAAUUACUGGGCUUAAAGGGCGCGUAGGCGGCUUGUCAAGUCGGGGGUGAAAUCCGGCAGCUUAACUGUCGAAGUGCCUUCGAUACUGACAAGCUCGAGGGAGGUAGGGGUCUGUGGAACUUCUGGUGGAGCGGUGAAAUGCGUUGAUAUCAGAAGGAACGCCGGUGGCGAAAGCGACGGACUGGAUCUCUUCUGACGCUGAGGCGCGAAAGCUAGGGUAGCGAACGGG
Molecule: ribosomal RNA, 253 nt
Filed under: uncultured bacterium
Lineage: Bacteria
Description: partial 16S ribosomal RNA
Rfam family: Bacterial small subunit ribosomal RNA
Source: RNAcentral